AUACGGAGGAUGCAAGCGUUAUCCGGAUUUAUUGGGUUUAAAGGGUGCGUAGGCGGUUUGCUAAGCGGGAGGUGAAAUGCCGGCGCUCAACGUCGGAAGUGCCUCCCGAACUGGUGGGCUGGAAUGACUCUGCCGUGGGAGGAAUGUGUAGUGUAGCGGUGAAAUGCUUAGAGAUUACACAGAACACCGAUUGCGAAGGCAUCUCACGAAGGGUUGAUUGACGCUGAGGCACGAAAGCGUGGGGAUCAAACAGGAUUAGAUACCCUGGUAGUCCACGCAGUAAACGAUGAUGGCUAACCGCUGGGCUUAUCAGUUCAGUGGCCAAGCGAAAGCGAUAAGCCAUCCACCUGGGGAGUACGACCGCAAGGUUGAAACUCAAAGGAAUUGACGGGG
RNAcentral lists this ribosomal RNA (393 nucleotides) under uncultured bacterium. RNAcentral describes it as "partial 16S ribosomal RNA". It matches the Rfam family "Bacterial small subunit ribosomal RNA", at positions 523 to 918 of the family's 1533-position model. The record is from RNAcentral.